RNAcentral lists this ribosomal RNA (493 nucleotides) under uncultured bacterium. Its description in RNAcentral is "partial 16S ribosomal RNA". It matches the Rfam family "Bacterial small subunit ribosomal RNA", at positions 28 to 507 of the family's 1533-position model. The record is from RNAcentral.
GACGAACGCUGGCGGCGUGCUUAACACAUGCAAGUCGAACGGUGAAGGGACCGGUUUUUGCUGGUUCUGGAUGAGUGGCGAACGGGUGAGUAACACGUGAGUAACCUGCCCCCUUCUUCUGGAUAACCGCAUGAAAGUGUGGCUAAUACGGGAUAUUCUGCGCCUGCUGCAUGGUGGGUGUGGGAAAGAUAUUGUUUCGGUGGGGGAUGGGCUCGCGGCCUAUCAGCUUGUUGGUGGGGUGAUGGCCUACCAAGGCGGUGACGGGUAGCCGGCCUGAGAGGGUGGACGGUCACACUGGGACUGAGACACGGCCCAGACUCCUACGGGAGGCAGCAGUGGGGAAUAGUGCACAAUGGGCGCAAGCCUGAUGCAGCGACGCCGCGUGAGGGAUGGAGGCCUGCGGGUUGUAAACCUCUUUCGCCAGUGAAGCAGGCCUGUCCCUUGUGUGGGUGGGUUGACGGUAGCUGGAGAAGAAGCGCCGGCUAACUACGUG